This is a non-coding RNA of Plutella xylostella (diamondback moth), 3069 nucleotides long. The record is from RefSeq and is a predicted model, not a curated record. NCBI's taxonomy places the organism in Eukaryota, Metazoa, Arthropoda, Insecta, Lepidoptera, Plutellidae.
GGCAGCCCCAAAGCAAGUAAAUGCUUUGUAUUCCCCGGAUACCCUGACUCUAGGUCCUGUUCCGAACGAAGUGGCGCCUAAGUGAAUUAAGUUGGGAGCUAUGAAUUUCUCCAAUUCCAUCCCGAUUUGCAUGACCACAUGAGAAGAUAAAUCUAGGCCUUGAGUUAAAGCCCCUAUCAUACUGACUGCAAUUUUCAAUAUCCAGGUCCUCUCUUCUAUGCGAGUGAGCUUUCCUUCAAUUUCGAUUCCAUCAAGUUCAUCCACAAAUAAUAAUUUGGAUAUGCUUUUAGUAUCCUUUUACUCAUUAGUGACAGGCAGGGUACAGUGUAGAUGCAUUUUGAUUGGUCAAAUAAUGGUGAAACGGAAAAGGACUGAAGAUGUGUUCACUAAUGUAGGUUUGCAACAAGGUAUGGGCACAAAUUGUUGGCAAAACCGACAGAUUGCCAUAAACUAAAGUUGAACAAGGUAAUACAGUAUUUCUACAGAAUUAUUCUAAAUGUUGCUACGAAAUUGGUAAUAGCUUCACAAAAUCAUUGCCUCGAUAGCCUUGGUCUGUGGUCUUUGUUAUUAUCUGUCUCCUAUAUCCUACUUGUCUAUAUUACUUUCAUUCGGUUCGUCUUGUGACAUGUAAAACAGAUGUUUAAGUACAGUAUUUCUACAGAAUCACUCCUAGUGUGGCUACGAAAUUAUUUCUGGCUACAAAAUCAUAAUUCUUGCUUUGAUGGCGGGUGAAAUCUACUAUUAUCCCCUAUCGAUAUGCGCUCGUUCCUUUCCAUGUUAAUGUAGUAUGUGUGUGUUAAUUAUUAGUUUUUCUUAGUCUGUAUGUCCCUUCUGGAUGUCUGGCAUCUUACUGAUCGGUGUUUUCGUUCCAUUUUUGGUUGGAUCUCUUUAUGAUUUAGUGCAUCGCUGGAGUGGCGUGAAAAGAGUUCUUGGCUUUUUGGUGUCAGGUGGAACAAGGUGUUUUGACCUUCAGUCGGAAGCAAAGAUGAGGUCGAUCAUUUCUAGUGGGAUCCCUCUUCUUUCAAGGCUUAACCAGAGGGUUGAAUUCACUUUGUACAAUUUCUGCCCGAAGCGGGGAUGAUAACAUUGCUCGAGGGCUCGAUCGGGAUAGAGUGAUAGCUGGUGAGAUUUGAUCUCAUGACUGGAUUCAUUCAUGGAGACCAUAAGCCAUAUUGUCUGGUCCUCAGAUUGCACCCAAGCUGAUUCAGAGGAACUAAGAUAGGGAGUCUGAUGGCAGGAGUUGGAGUUAAGACUCAUUAGAUCUAUGAGAAACUCGCGGAUGUUGCCCUCAUUGCAAUCAACUUGGCUUCCAUUGACUAAUAAGACACCUUUUGGCACUAUGAGAGUUCUUGCAGUGUUCUCAUGAAACUCAAGAGAUGACAGUGUCAAUGUUAUCUCUGUGGUGGUCAUGGUCUCUAGGGGGUCCACUGUUUUGUGAAUUACAACAGGUUUUUGCGGGAAAAUAUGUGAUCUCAGGAUGGUGGUGAGAGCCACAUUACAUUGGGCGGUUGUUAGGUAGGCUGUCUGAGUUGUUUUGGGGCCUUCUUCUAACUCCAUCUUCCUGUUGAUGGAGGCGUAUCCUGAUCUCUUUUCUACCGCCCAUUUUUGAUACGGUUUCAAAUCAUCUCGAGAGAUUCGUUUCCAAAAUAUUAUGUCAACAUGAGUCUUUCCUAGAACUAGUCGUGUUGAAGGGACUACAAUCCUAAGGAAAAGAAUAAGUAAUACUGCUGUCUGCAUGGAGAUCCGCAAUCGAUGCAUCCUCUUCGACAAAGCUUGGAAUGCCUUCUGGUUGGAUAACAAUGUAGCAAUUGGCACAAUGUUAGGUUUGUCAGAGCUUCAUCUGUUGCUGAGAUGUUCCCCCAAAGUUGGCAAUCUUCUCCCACGACACUGGGUUGGGAGCUCCAGAUCGCGUAAGACUCUGCUCGAUUGAGAUACCUGAAUUUUUCCUCUUCUACUUUGACUUUGAGAAUAGGGCAACAAAUUAGUGAGAUCCCUAGAGAGUCCCGCAGUUUGCAGAGUUCGGAGCUAAUCAGAGCGAGAUGAGGAGGCCUUCCAGGGAUGUCGACAGGAAGUUUUCUGAUGGAGAGUGAUGGGCCUUUGUGAUGUUCUAGGCUCCAAUGGCUUGUGGAUGUGUUAUCAACAGGCAGUUCCCUUGCCCAAGUGCUGUCCAAUAAGGGCAGGAAAAGGAUCCAAAACAGUCUCAUAAGACUUGGCUGGAGAGACAAUAGUUGAUUAUUAAAGUUUUUUAUAAAUCGGUAUUAUAACCUUCAACCUCCCCCAUGCGGAGGAUAAAGACAGUCUCCUUAUAUGUGACGGACCAGGCUUGAAGGGAUUCCGUGAGCGUCUGGUGGAAGUUGAUACAGAUGAGUCGGACUUGAUUGUAGGGGUUUCUGUGGCUGUGGAUACUGAUGAACCUGGACAUGACGAAGUACCCAGCAAAUGUGACGACAGGAGUUCCUGUCAAAAUCUUUGAUAGUGCGCGUCUUCUUCUUCUUGGCGUCCUAUGACCCCCCGUGGGGGAAAGGGCAGACACAACGGUUCUCCAUCUCAGUCUGUCGACGGCAGCGAGCUUCACGUGGUCCAGGCCACGUCAUCUCCGCGUCCUGCAUCUCGUCAUGAAAGUGUGCAUCACUGAAAAUAUAAUACCUAAAUGGCCAUUAGAAUUGAAUUACGUUCACCCUAGAUAACACAGUACACAGUCAUGCAUGCACUAUAAUACCACAAUAUAUUAUAAUAUAAUGAGCUCUUACUUAAAAGAGCUAUGAUAUAAGUAAAGCUAUCGAUGUUAACUGUUAUUUGUCACACCAGAGUAAAAGUUCUUACUGUACCUUAGUUAAUGAAAAAUAAAUAAAUAAUGAUUAUUAUUAAUAAGCACACUAUACAGAAUUCUUGAAUCAGAAUAUAGGCUAAGAAUUUUGUAAGAAAAAAAAAAUUAAUUUAGAAAUACCAUUGUGAUCUUAAUCAUACCUACUUAUAACAAUAAUAAACAAUAUAAAAUAAUUUAACAUGAUUGUGUUGAUGUAGUUUCUAAUGUGGAUUUGUAUAAAAUAAAAUAAAUUUGUCUUGGCA